GAGGCUAUAGCUUGGUGGUAGAUCACAUGCUUAGCAUGCACAAGGUCCUGGGUUCAAUCCCCAGUACCUCCA
This is a transfer RNA of Camelus ferus (Wild Bactrian camel), 72 nucleotides long. It matches the Rfam family "tRNA". From Rfam's summary of the family: Transfer RNA (tRNA) molecules are approximately 80 nucleotides in length. Their secondary structure includes four short double-helical elements and three loops (D, anti-codon, and T loops). NCBI's taxonomy places the organism in Eukaryota, Metazoa, Chordata, Mammalia, Artiodactyla, Camelidae. The record is from Rfam.